This 317-nucleotide non-coding RNA is filed under the name Pontibacillus yanchengensis Y32. RNAcentral's name for it is "cspA thermoregulator". It matches the Rfam family "cspA thermoregulator", at positions 98 to 428 of the family's 428-position model. Lineage: Bacteria; Bacillati; Bacillota; Bacilli; Caryophanales; Bacillaceae. The record is from Rfam by way of RNAcentral.
UUCUUGAAUGAAAUGCAGAGCAAGAAAUAGUAAUAUUAUCGUGCAACACGCACUUGGAGGAAUAAACAUGAAUCAAGGUACAGUAAAAUGGUUUAACGCAGAAAAAGGUUUCGGUUUCAUCGAAGUAGAAGGUCAAGACGAUGUAUUCGUUCACUUCUCUGCCAUUCAAGAAGAAGGUUUCAAAACUCUAGAAGAAGGUCAAACUGUUACAUUCGACAUCGUUGAAGGUAACCGUGGACCACAAGCUGACAACGUAGUUAAGAACUAAUUACGUUUAUUAGCAAAAAAAGCUCUUCCCUUUUGGGAAGAGCUUUUUU